This 1863-nucleotide ribosomal RNA is filed under the name Triticum aestivum (bread wheat). RNAcentral's name for it is "partial small subunit ribosomal RNA". Lineage: Eukaryota; Viridiplantae; Streptophyta; Magnoliopsida; Poales; Poaceae. The record is from RNAcentral.
AUGGGCCGCGACGCCGAGGAAGCGUCCCAGCCGGCGUCGUCGCCGGAGUACGAGCAGGACGACGACGAGGAGGACUGCUACCUGAGCGAUCAGGAGGACGAUGCCCUAGAGGAGUCCGUCCUCCAGGUCCUCGAGGACGGCAACCUCGAGGACUGCCAUUGGUCCUCCUCCUCCGUGAUCACCAAGGAAUACCUCUUGGCGGCGCAGAGGGAGGAUCUGAGGAAGGUGAUGGAGCUGCUAGGGUUAAAGGAGCACCACGCAAGGACGCUUCUGAUCCACUACCGCUGGGAUGUGGAGAGGAUAUUCGAGCUGCUCGAUCAGAAGGGGAGGGAUAAGCUCUUCUCCGAGGCUGGUAUUCCUCUCGGAACCGCCAAUAAUGCUGGCUCGCCCUCUGCGACGGAGGUCACCUGCAAUGUUUGCUACGAUGAUGUGCCCCUCUCGGCCGCUUCCCAUAUGGACUGCGGCCACAACUACUGCAAUGAAUGUUGGACAGAAUAUUUCAUUGUGAAAAUAAAUGAGGGGCAGAGUCGGCGUGUCAAGUGCAUGGCUCCAAAGUGCAAUGCCAUCUGUGAUGAAGCAUUAGUCCGGAAGUUAGUAAGUGCAAAGCGCCCAGAUAUUGCUGAGCGCUUUGAAAGGUUUUUACUGGAAUCUUAUAUCGAGGACAAUGAUACAGUCAAGUGGUGCCCCAGCACACCACAUUGUGGAAAUGCUAUACGUGUCAAAGGUGAUAUUCAUUGCGAAGUGGAAUGUACAUGUGGACGCCAGUUUUGUUUUAAUUGCUCCUCAGAAGCACAUUCCCCUUGUUCCUGCGUGAUGUGGGAGCUCUGGAUCAAGAAAUGUCGUGAUGAAUCAGAGACUGUGAAUUGGAUAACAGUAAAUACUAAGCCCUGUCCCAAGUGUCACAAACCCGUUGAGAAGAAUGGUGGCUGCAACCUGGUUGCAUGUAUAUGUGGACAAGCAUUCUGUUGGUUAUGUGGUGGUGCUACUGGUAGAGAUCACACAUGGUCAAGCAUUAGCGGCCACAGUUGUGGCCGAUUCACAGAAGAUCAGUCAACGAGAACAGAACAAGCAAGGCGAGACCUCUAUCGAUAUAUGCACUACCACAACAGAUACAAGGCACAUACUGAUUCUCUUAAGCAGGAAGCAAAGCUUAAGCGUGACAUCCAGUGGAAGAUAUCCAUUUCUGAAAAUAAGGAAUCCAAGAUAAAAGAUUACUCUUGGGUGAUAAAUGGACUGAACAGGCUUUUCAGAUCAAGGCGUGUUCUUUCAUAUUCUUAUCCUUUUGCAUUCUACAUGUUUGGUGAUGAGAUCUUCAAGGAUGAGAUGACUCCUGAGGAAAGAGAACUCAAGCAGAAUCUGUUUGAGGAUCAGCAACAGCAAUUAGAGUUCAAUGUUGAAAGGUUAUCUGGUUUCCUUGAGAAGGAUUUUCAAAAUUUUAGUGAUGAGGAGGUUAUGGAUACAAUGAAGCAUGUUAUCAAUCUUUCCAAUGUGGUAGAUAGGCUCUGCAAGCAAAUGUAUCAGUGCAUCGAGAAUGAUUUGUUAUACCCUCUCCGCACGCCUCAUAAUAUUGCCCCAUACAAAUCCAAGGGUCUUGAUAGAGCCUCAGAGCUCCAUAUUUGUUUGGACUCUGCUGAACAAAGUUCACCAUCUACGAAGUGUAGUCAGGAUGAACACAAGAGUCAACCUGGUUUAUGUAGCGAACCAGGCUCAUCUCUUACGGGAAAGCGACCUAUUCUUCAGAUGCACGGGUCAAGUUCCGACAACAGUGGACGCCCGUCUCACAAGAGAGAGAGAAGAGACGCUCAUGGCGGCGGUGCUCUUUUCGAUCUCAACAUGCCAGCCGAAGUGGCGGACAAGAUCUGA